GACAUUUGGAGGGACCAGUUUUGCCAAGGGCUGGGCAUAUACCGGGUAAAACUGAUAAUCCGAACCGUUAAUUUUUUAUUAAGUUAUCGGUAUUGGGUUAUUGGGUUAUCGGUUCGGGCCUCGAUUUGCCAAUUUUAUUAAUGGGUUAACCGAUAACCCCAUAAGAAUUAAUAAAAUUACGACUUUAUCCUUAAGUAUAUACAAAUGUUAGGGCUUCAGUUCAUUCUCUCCUAUUCUUUCUCAACCCCACUCUUCAGUUGCUUCUUCUUCAUUCUUCAUUCUUCAUUCUUCAUACACCUUACUAGUUACUCCUAGCGUAAAUCUUUAGUAUACUAUAUGUGAAUUCUUCUCUUUUUUGCUUAACUCCGAUGAAUUGUCUUUUUUUUUUUUGCUUAACUCUAGAUUGAGUUAUCUUAUCGGGUAAACCGAUAACCGAUUAACCGAUAUCCGAUAACCGAUAUCUUAUCGGUUCGGUUAUCGGUUUAUCAAAUUUAUAAACCGAUAACCGAUAUGUUAAACCAAUAAUAUUCAUAACCGAACCGAAUCGACCGAUGCCCAACCCUAGUUUUGCCACGGAAUUCAGUACUCUUUGUCCCUUCGAUACUUCAAGAGCCUCUAACCCUCAGGUGUUGUAUACUGAUGAAUUAAAGCCAACAUUCAAUCUAUAGUGUCUACUUGAUUCAGACUUGCGUCCUAGUAAUGUAACAUGUCAAACUCCUUUUAUUUAAUUUAUUGUAAUAAAAUUUUGUCAGACAACAUUGCUAUUGACAUUGGUUGAUUAAGUAGUUAAAUAAACAUAUAUAUCAUCUAAUCACAUACUAAAUGACCGUGACUGGAGUUGACAUUCUUUAGUAUGGUUUUGUGUUGGUUGAAUAAUAG
RNAcentral lists this long non-coding RNA (879 nucleotides) under Nicotiana tabacum (common tobacco). RNAcentral's name for it is "long non-coding RNA (NTAB_LNC015022)". Lineage: Eukaryota; Viridiplantae; Streptophyta; Magnoliopsida; Solanales; Solanaceae. The record is from RNAcentral.